This 892-nucleotide long non-coding RNA is filed under the name Numida meleagris (helmeted guineafowl). RNAcentral describes it as "lncRNA (ENSNMEG00000019420.1)". Lineage: Eukaryota; Metazoa; Chordata; Aves; Galliformes; Numididae. The record is from RNAcentral.
AGGAAAAUGGCACUGCCCCGGUGUGAGGAGAGGAAAAGAGGAGGUGAUGAAGUGCCAGAGGAGGACAGCCAGGGAAUUAACAUCUGGAUUGAAAAUUCAGGCCUAAGCUGCAAAAGGAUUUUUGGAUGCAAAGUUCAUAUUUGAGCUCAUUACAGAUGGAACUGCCUGGAUCUGAGCCUGUUUUCCAUGAAAUAUCGUAUCUCUGUGGCCUGUAACAAAGACAGUUGUCAACCAGGAACAACUCCCCCCGCAAUAUAGCUAUGUUUGGAUCUGGGAAGGCUACCCCAGUGUGACAGGACACCAACGAUAAUCAGGGAAUGCUAAUACGGAGUAAAAACAUUAGAAAGUAACCUCCCCGGCACAAGUGUACAUAUAGUUAGAUCAUUAACACAGGAGAAGCCUCCAUUGCUGAAAUAAAACUUCCAAAUCCUUGAAAUGCUAUUGCAGAGUUGGGAGUAGGAGCUCUCCGCCUGACUCAUUGCUGAGGCUCUCUGCUCGGCAAGGAAAGGUUUGCUGCCUGAAGGGGAUGUGUUGGUCUGUGAACACUUCAGAUGCAUGAUUGUCUUCAAUUAUGUGCACAGUCCCACCACUACACAGAGCAAGUAUAAAGAGAAGUCUAUGCUUGACUGUCUUUCUAGGAUGGGAGGCUGUUUGUUUUCCUUUAACAUUCCAAUCCACCUGGGAAUGAAACUCAGCUGCACUAUUUCAUCUCCUGGUUCCAGCCAGCUGCACUUUCUGAAUUUCAUGCAUUCGCACAGAGAUGCUGGUUUGAAUUCCCAGCAGCAGCAGCAGCAGCAGAGUGAUACUGGGGAAUCAUUCUUACCAAAUCUCCAAUGCUAAACCAGUUAGAAACAGGCAUUCCGAGUCCAACACAGCAUAGACAACCCCACCU